UACGUAGGGCGCAAGCGUUAUCCGGAAUUAUUGGGCGUAAAGAGCUCGUAGGCGGUUUGUCGCGUCUGCCGUGAAAGUCCGGGGCUCAACUCCGGAUCUGCGGUGGGUACGGGCAGACUAGAGUGCAGUAGGGGAGACUGGAAUUCCUGGUGUAGCGGUGAAAUGCGCAGACUAUCAGGAGGAACACCGAUGGCGAAGGCAGGUCUCUGGGCUGUAACUGACGCUGGAGGAGCGAAAGCUGGGGAGCGAACAGG
This 254-nucleotide ribosomal RNA is filed under the name uncultured bacterium. Its description in RNAcentral is "partial 16S ribosomal RNA". It matches the Rfam family "Bacterial small subunit ribosomal RNA", at positions 524 to 776 of the family's 1533-position model. The record is from RNAcentral.